CGAAAGCCUGACGGAGCAAGACCGCGUGGGGGAAGAAGGCUCUUGGGUUGUAAACCCCUUUUCUCUGGGAAGAAAGUUGUGAAAGCAACCUGACGGUACCAGAGGAAUCAGCAUCGGCUAACUCCGUGCCAGCAGCCGCGGUAAGACGGAGGAUGCAAGCGUUAUCCGGAAUGAUUGGGCGUAAAGCGUCCGCAGGUGGCAGUUCAAGUCUGCUGUCAAAGACCGGGGCUUAACUUCGGAAAGGCAGUGGAAACUGAACAGCUAGAGUAUGGUAGGGGCAGAGGGAAUUCCUGGUGUAGCGGUGAAAUGCGUAGAGAUCAGGAAGAACAUCGGUGGCGAAAGCGCUCUGCUGGGCCGUAACUGACACUCAUGGACGAAAGCUAGGGGAGCG
Molecule: ribosomal RNA, 391 nt
Filed under: uncultured Oscillatoria sp.
Lineage: Bacteria; Bacillati; Cyanobacteriota; Cyanophyceae; Oscillatoriales; Oscillatoriaceae
Description: bacterial SSU rRNA
Rfam family: Bacterial small subunit ribosomal RNA
Source: RNAcentral